GCCUUUUGCUUACGCUGUCGUGGCCGUGCUCCAAUCUUCAUCUGAGGGAUUAUCGUCAUAAGGCCUUGUGUCCUCGCUUGUCCUGUUAAAUUCAUCGUAGUGCAUGGAGAUGAAAGCGGGGGCACGAAUACACUCAAACAGAAGUAAAGCGCUGUGAUCCGAGAUUUUUGUCAAAAGGUCUAGCUCGAGAAGAUGAGGAAUUUCGUGAUGGCCCUUGUCCUUGUUUUCAUUCUUAGGCUACGCAUAGCGAUCCCAGUAGGCUCUUUGCAAGAGGAUCAAAGUAAUUUCUCUGCCUUCCAUUGAGGUUUGAGAGCAAGGGAUUAUUGCCUUUCUUGUCUCUACGCAAUAAUCAUUAAGAAAAACAUACCUGAAUUCAUUAUUGAAUCAAACUGGAGAGUGAGAUUGGGUGCAGUUCAUGGCUAUACAGCCGGUAUCCAAAUUAGUGUGUAGCUGAAUGGUCUUUUGCUUCAGUUUCUAAGCAAUUGACGUCUGUUAAGACAAGAACAGGAUUGUUUGAUGCCAGGCUGGCAACGGCAAGCUGAGUGCCUCUAUAUUUCAGGGCCUGGCCCGUCUUGAAUUUCUGGGCCAAGCCGUUGCUCAACCUUUAUGGACUCAGAGAAGGGCAACUUCAUAUCUUUCUCAGAAGUUUCAAUUUCACCUUACUAAUGAAAAACUCACUUUUUGAUUUU
Molecule: long non-coding RNA, 689 nt
Organism: Populus euphratica (Euphrates poplar)
Lineage: Eukaryota; Viridiplantae; Streptophyta; Magnoliopsida; Malpighiales; Salicaceae
Exons: 2
Source: RefSeq, a predicted model, not a curated record